This 253-nucleotide ribosomal RNA is filed under the name uncultured prokaryote. Its description in RNAcentral is "partial 16S ribosomal RNA". It matches the Rfam family "Bacterial small subunit ribosomal RNA", at positions 525 to 777 of the family's 1533-position model. The record is from RNAcentral.
ACGGAGGGGGCUAGCGUUGUUCGGAAUGACUGGGCGUAAAGCGCGCGUAGGCGGAUUGGCAAGUUGGGGGUGAAAUCCCGGGGCUCAACCUCGGAAUGGCCUUCAAGACUGCUGGUCUUGAGUUCGAGAGAGGUGAGUGGAAUUCCGAGUGUAGAGGUGAAAUUCGUAGAUAUUCGGAGGAACACCAGUGGCGAAGGCGGCUCACUGGCUCGACACUGACGCUGAGGUGCGAAAGCGUGGGGAGCAAACAGGA